GACGACCCUGUUGAUGUGCUUAUCAGGUAGAGAUCAGCUUCCGAUGAGCAGAACAGAGAACCUGAAUGACACCGAUGUUAUGAGUUAACUUUUGUUUCUCAAAAGAAGAUAUGUGGAUCUCUGGUCUAAUUACUAGGUCCUUGAUCUACUUUGAGUUGAGUUUGGUGCAUGGUGUGUGAGAGAGAGGGGUUUAGUUUCAUUUUGCUGCAUAAGGAUUUCCAGUUCUCCCAGCACCAUUCAUUGAAGAGGCUGUCUUUUCUCCCAAUGUAUGUUUUUGGUACCUUUGUCUAGUAUAAGAUAACUUCAUUUAUGUGGGUUGUCUCUGUGUUCUCUAUUCUGUACCACUGGUCUACAUGUCUAUUUUGGUGCCAAUACCAUGCCAUUUUUGUUACUAUACCUUUGUAUUAUAGUUUAAAGUCUGGUAUUGUGAUGCCUCCUGCUCUUCUUGCUAAGGAUUGCUUUGGCUAUUCUGGGUCUCUUAUUUUUCCAAAUGAGUUUCAUGAUUGCUUUUUCUAUUUCUAUAAGGAACGAUGGGGGUUGAGGUUGUGCCUCUGCAGUACAGCGCUUGCCUAGCAUGUGCGAGGAGGCCCUGGGUUCAAUCCUCAGCACCACAUAAAAAUAAAAAAAAUAUAAGGAAUGAUGUUGGGAUUUUAAUUGGCAUCACAUUGAAUGUGUAUAGAGCUUUGGGUAGUGUGGCCAUUUUGACAAUAUUAAUUCUGACUAUCCAAGAGCAUGGGAGAUCUUUGCAUCUUCUAAGAUCUUCUUCUAUUUUUUUCUUCAGUGUUCUGUAGUUUUCAUCGUAGAGGUCUUGCCACACACACGUCAGAUAGAGCACUAAUCUUCAGGAUAUAUAAAGAACUCAGAAACAUUAACACCAAAAAAACCCCUCAAACAAUCCAAUCAAUAAAUGAGCUAUGGAGCUGAACAGACACUCCUCAGAAGAAGAUAUACAAUCAAUCAACAAAUAUAUGAAAAAAAUGUUCAAAGUCUCUAGUAAUUAGAGAAAUGCAAAUCAAAAUCACUCUUAAGAUUUCAUCUCUCUCCAGACAGAAUGGCAGUUAACAAGAAUACAAACAACAGUAAGUAUUGGCAAGGAUGUGGGGGGAAAGGCACACUCAUACACUGCUGGUGGGACUGCAAAUUGGUGCAACAAAUCUGGAUAGCAGUAUGGAGAUUCCUUAAAAAACUUGGAAUGGAACCACCAUUUGACCCAGCUAUUCCACUCCUCAGUUAUACCCAAAGGAUUUAAAAUCAGCAUAGUACAGGGACACAGCCACAUCAAUGUUUAGUGGCUUAAUUCACAAUAGCUAAAUUGGAACCAACCUAGAUACCCUUCAAUAGAUGAAUGGAUAAAGAAAAUAUGGUAUAUAUACACAAUGGAAUAUUACUCAGCAUUAAAAGAGAAUAAAAUUAUGGCAUUUGCAAGUAAAUGGAUGGAGUUAGAGAAGAUCAUGCAAAGUGAAGUAAGUCAGUCUCCAAAAACCAAAGGCCAAAUGUUC
Molecule: long non-coding RNA, 1499 nt
Filed under: Marmota monax (woodchuck)
Lineage: Eukaryota; Metazoa; Chordata; Mammalia; Rodentia; Sciuridae
Source: RNAcentral